RNAcentral lists this ribosomal RNA (404 nucleotides) under uncultured bacterium. Its description in RNAcentral is "bacterial SSU rRNA". It matches the Rfam family "Bacterial small subunit ribosomal RNA", at positions 355 to 776 of the family's 1533-position model. The record is from RNAcentral.
UGAGGAAUAUUGGGCAAUGGGGGCAACCCUGACCCAGCCAUGCCGCGUGAGUGAAGAAGGUCUUCGGAUUGUAAAGCUCUUUCGGACGUGACGAUGAUGACGGUAGCGUCUAAAGAAGCACCGGCAAACUUCGUGCCAGCAGCCGCGGUAAUACGAAGGGUGCGAGCGUUGUUCGGAAUUACUGGGCGUAAAGGGAGUGUAGGCGGAUAUGUAAGAUAGCGGUGAAAUGCCGGGGCUCAACCCCGGAACUGCCAUUAUGACUAUGUAUCUGGAGUAAUGGAGAGGAUAGCGGAAUACCCAGUGUAGAGGUGAAAUUCGUAGAUAUUGGGUAGAACACCGGUGGCGAAGGCGGCUAUCUGGCCAUUUACUGACGCUGAGGCUCGAAAGCAUGGGGAGCAAACAGG